CCAUUUUUCAUUCUACAGGGUACUCCUUUUGCGGCAUUACAUUUCAUUAUUUCUGGGUAUAAAAUACCCGAUUGGAUAAGGUACCAAAGCUGGGCAGUGAAGUAAAAGUAGAGCUACCUCCAAAUUGUUUUAAUUCCAACUUCCUUGGUUUUGCUUUGUCUGUUGUCACUGUUCCCAAGUCACCUGCCUAUCAUCUUAGUUUUCUGACGAGGGGAACCCAAUGCAACUGCUUGCUCUGAGGAUCACUCUGUAGCCACGGGACAUCAUCCUUGAUAAGGAGGAACCGCGGGACAAAUGCACCCUAAUCUUCCCGUAUCAUCUCUUGAUGUCUUCAGAUCAUUUAGAGAAAUCCAUGAGGAGAAACCCAGUGGCUCGGAAUCAGAUAAUGCUGAUUACUAUACUUCUGAUGAGGGAGGACCCACUGCAACUGGCUGCCCCAAUGAUGAGAUGUGGGCAGAGUAAUGCUUUGAAUGCAGGCAUUAUCAGGACAAUCCCUGAUGAGGAGGAACCUAGAGAAAUGCUUGAUAUGCAUCCAAAUCUUCCCAUACCAUCU
Vitis riparia (riverbank grape) is the source of this 553-nucleotide long non-coding RNA. RefSeq lists it as uncharacterized. The record is from RefSeq and is a predicted model, not a curated record. NCBI's taxonomy places the organism in Eukaryota, Viridiplantae, Streptophyta, Magnoliopsida, Vitales, Vitaceae. The transcript has 3 exons.